This 1468-nucleotide long non-coding RNA is filed under the name Ananas comosus (pineapple). RNAcentral's name for it is "long non-coding RNA (ACOM_LNC021067)". Lineage: Eukaryota; Viridiplantae; Streptophyta; Magnoliopsida; Poales; Bromeliaceae. The record is from RNAcentral.
AACUGGUGAGGUUGGAGAUGACUGCGGUGUAGAUGAUGACUGUGGCAUAAGUCGUGAUGGCCGGUGGACUUAGUUUGACAUUUUCGAAAGAGGUUGAAGGGUCAGAAGAAAUGAGAAAUCAUUGAUUCCCCUCCCAUCUUCUUUCGAAAACGCCGAACCGGCGAGAUUUGAGAUGACUGCGGUGUAGAUGACGACGAUGGCAUAAGUCGUAACGGUCGAUGGAUUUGGUUUGACAUUCUCGAAAGAGGUUGAAGGGUUUGAAGAAACGGGGAAUCAUUGAUUUCUCUCCCCUUUUCUUUCGAAAAUGCCAAACUGGCGAGGUUGGAGGAGGUCGCGACAAUGUAAAUCACCCAUCCCAUCAAUUAACGGUUUCAAAUGGGGUAUAGAGAGGUCCGAAGAAAUGAGGAGCCAUUGGCUCCCCUUCCCUCUCCCAUCGAAGUCGUCUAAAUGGCAUAGGUGACGACGGCAGCAGGACCUAAAAAAAAGGAAGAAAAAGAAAAAAGAGAAAAAGAUUUUUCUUUCUUUUUUUUGAUAUGUAUUAUUAUUAUUUCUUUUUUUAUUUUUUAUUUUUUUAUUUUUUUAUAUUUUUUUUUACCUGAUGAUCAAACGGUGGAAGUAGAAUGACAGGCUGGAUGAAGCUGCACGGUGGUGCGGUCGAAGAUCUCUCAUUCUUUGAAAUUUUUUUUUGGUAUGUAGGAACGUGUGUAGUAAGGGUGGAAAUGCUAUUAUCUCUCCUCUUUGUAUCGUAGUCUCUCUCCGUAUCACUAUUCUCUCUCUCUUUAUCUCUUAUCCUUCUUUUUAUCUUCAUAUUUAUAGUAGAAUAGGAAAAUCUGAGGAAUCGAUGAGUGGGUUGAGAUUUUUUCUGAGAGCGACGUGAAUGGGGUUAGGCGAGAGAUAUUUUGAGGAGUUGGUUAGGGAUUCAAAAUUUGAAAUUGAAUUUUGAAUUUGUUGUUGGAGGGAUAGAUAUUUUCUAGUCGGUUGGGAGUUUUACAAAUUCGAAAUUCGAAUGAAUGUGGGUUGUUAAGAGAUAUUUUGGGAGUUGGUUGAGGAUUUGAAAUCAAAUUUUGAAUGGGAAAAGAUAUGUAAUGAGGUUAUUAGGAUAAGAGAUUUUUUCUAAUUGAAUAUUAAAUUUUAGGAUGUGGGUAUGGACCGUCAUUGAUUGGGCCCACUUUGAUGGAGUUUUUUGGGCACAAAUAAUAAUAUUCGUUGGGCUGAAGCGAGGCCCGAAUUAUUACAUAGGCUUAAAAAUUCAACGGGCUUUCAUGAAACCCACCAAUUCGUAUUCAUAAAUGAGCCUAUUGAAUGGAUUUAAAUUAUUAUUAUUCGUCCCAAAAUUUUUUGGUUAACAUGAGACCUACUAGGAUUGUAUAAGUCUGAAUUUAAUUGGCUGUGAUUAUGAUUAGGAUUGCUUUAUCCUAUAUAUAUAUAUAUAUAGUAUAAAUGUUUAUCUUUUUUACUUCAAACAAUA